Molecule: ribosomal RNA, 443 nt
Filed under: uncultured bacterium
Lineage: Bacteria
Description: partial 16S ribosomal RNA
Rfam family: Bacterial small subunit ribosomal RNA
Source: RNAcentral
CCUACGGGUGGCAGCAGUGGGGAAUAUUGGGCAAUGGGCGCAAGCCUGACCCAGCAACGCCGCGUGAAGGAAGAAGGCUUUCGGGUUGUUAACUUCUUUUCUGAGGGACGAAGAAAGUGACGGUACCUCCGGAAUAAGCCACGGCUAACUACGUGCCAGGAGCCGCGGUAAUACGUCGGGGGCGAGCGUUAUCCGGAUUUAUUGGGUGUAAAGGGCGUGUAGGCGGGAAAGCAAGUCAGAUGUGAAAACUCAGGGCUCAACCCUGAGCCUGCAUUUGAAACUGGUUUUCUUGAGUGCUGGAGAGGCAAUCGGAAUUCCGUGUGUAGCGGUGAAAUGCGUAGAUAUACGGAGGAACACCAGUGGCGAAGGCGGAUUGCUGGACAGUAACUGACGCUGAGGCGCGAAAGCGUGGGUAGCAAACAGGAUUAGAUACCCCAGUAGUC